AGCAGCCGCGGUAAUUCCAGCUCCAAUAGCGUAUAUUAAAGUUGUUGCAGUUAAAAAGCUCGUAGUUGAAUUUCGGGGUCAGUAGGUUGGUCAUGCCACUGGUAUGUACUGGUCUCACUGAUUCCUCCUUCCUGAUGAGCCGUAAUGCCAUUAAUUUGGUGUUGCGAGGAAUCUGGACUGUUACUUUGAAAAAAUUAGAGUGUUUAAAGCAGGCUAACGCUUGAAUACAUUAGCAUGGAAUAAUGAAAUAGGACGUUCGAUCUUAUUUUGUUGGUUUCUAAGAUUGACGUAAUGAUUAAUAGGGAUAGUUGGGGGCAUUAGUAUUCAAUUGUCAGAGGUGAAAUUCUUGGAUUUAUUGAAGACUAACUACUGCGAAAGCAUUUGCCAAGGAUGUUUUCAUUAAUCAAGAACGAAAGUUAGGGGAUCGAAGACGAUCAGAUACCGUCGUAGUCUUAACCAUAAACUAAUGCCGACUAGGGAUCGGAUGGAUGUUAAUUUUUUAAUGACUCAUUC
This 513-nucleotide ribosomal RNA is filed under the name uncultured Glomus. RNAcentral describes it as "SSU rRNA". It matches the Rfam family "Eukaryotic small subunit ribosomal RNA", at positions 569 to 1081 of the family's 1831-position model. Lineage: Eukaryota; Fungi; Glomeromycota; Glomeromycetes; Glomerales; Glomeraceae. The record is from RNAcentral.